Molecule: ribosomal RNA, 370 nt
Filed under: uncultured bacterium
Lineage: Bacteria
Description: bacterial SSU rRNA
Rfam family: Bacterial small subunit ribosomal RNA
Source: RNAcentral
GACGAACGCUGGCGGCGUGCUUAACACAUGCAAGUCGAGCGGUAAGGGCCCUUUCGGGGGUACACGAGCGGCGAACGGGUGAGUAACACGUGGGUGACCUGCCCUUAGCUCUGGGAUAAGCCUGGGAAACUGGGUCUAAUACCGGAUAUGACUCCAUAACGCAUGUUGUGGGGUGGAAAGCCUUGUGCGGCUAGGGAUGGGCCCGCGGCCUAUCAGCUUGUUGGGUGGGGUGAUGGCCACCAAGGCGACGACGGGUAGCCGGCCUGAGAGGGCGACCGGCCACACUGGGACUGAGACACGGCCCAGACUCCUACGGGAGGCAGCAGUGGGGAAUCUUGCGCAAUGGGCGAAAGCCUGACGCAGCGACGCC